CGGCACACCCCUAACACUCGGAUCGUCCGGCACGUUCCUGCCGGUGGAGGGAUUCAUUU
Molecule: non-coding RNA, 59 nt
Organism: Rhodococcus jostii RHA1
Lineage: Bacteria; Bacillati; Actinomycetota; Actinomycetes; Mycobacteriales; Nocardiaceae
Source: Rfam